UUGAAAUUACCUGUUUGCAUACAAUCACCGAAGUUAAGCAAUAUUCAGCCUGUCUAGUACCUGGGUGGGUGACUGCUUGGGGAUACCAGAUGCUGUAA
Non-coding RNA from Acanthosepion pharaonis, 98 nucleotides. The record is from the annotation of a GenBank genome assembly. NCBI's taxonomy places the organism in Eukaryota, Metazoa, Mollusca, Cephalopoda, Sepiida, Sepiidae.